Molecule: small nucleolar RNA, 170 nt
Filed under: Ascoidea rubescens DSM 1968
Lineage: Eukaryota; Fungi; Ascomycota; Saccharomycetes; Ascoideales; Ascoideaceae
Source: RNAcentral
CUGGCAUCUUCGAAGAUCCCUAUAUUCGCUCAAUAAUAUAAUGAUUCAAAGCGAUGCCUAAAUCAAUUUAUUUAAGUUUAUUUAAUUUAAAUCUUUGAUCCCAACCUGAAUUAAACUAUUCAAAUGCGUUUUACUCUCUCUUAUUUGAAUACGAUUCGUUUGGAACAUUC